CUCCUCUUCUGGGUCAGCUCCACAGUGAGCCCUGGCCCUCUGGGGCAAGGGACAAGGUGACUGGUCCCUGUGCUGGGAGCAGGUUCCCGCAGAGUGGGUGGUGUGGGAGGCUUGUCAUGCUCGCUGGGUGGGUUGAUGGGCACUGGGAGAGAGCGGAAAAGAUGGUGCCGGGUCUCGUGCCUGGGGGGGUCACUCGCCACAGCAGGGAGGGGCUGUGGGGCCCGUGGCGCAUGUGCUGGAAAGACCCUCAGCUUGAUGGUUCUCCCCAUCGGAAGUGGAGGCAGGUGGCUGGGGGCAGGAGAGCGGCUGAGGCUUGGGAGGGACCAUGGACAGCCAUCGCCCAGAGCAGCCUCCCCGCCCCAGGGGCCUUGGCCACCUGUGCUCUGUCUUCCCUACUGUGGACCAAGGUGUCUGCAGGCCCGUAUUCCAGGGAGCUCUGAGCAAAAGGGAGGCGCCCCGAGGCCUGGCUUGGGCUCCCUCCCCAGGAAGUUCUAGAGUAGCCAUGUGCCUGAUGUUGCUUGUGCUCAUGCACAUGGAGGGUGGAGGCCACCCAGCCACUCUGAGUGGGCCUGCCUCCCACCUGGCUGGUCACAGUGCUGGCCCCAGCUCUGGGCACACGGCUCUGGGACGGCCACUGAGAGUGGUGAUCUCACUCAGGAGUGCCGCAGGCCGGGGCAGGGCCUGGCCAGGUGGGGGGCUCUCCUGCCGCCUCUGGACCUCUUCAGCGUGUCCUGUACCUCCCUGGACUCUCAGCACCCAACUGUGGCUCUGUGGUCCAGCUCCUUCCUGUCCUUCAGCCCCCUGUUGUGCUCCAAGCUGGGAAGGGGAACAGGAGGCUGGGGGCAGCUUCUCUGCCAGUCCCAGGGUGGAGCGGGCAGCAGGGCAGGAGCUGCCUGUGUUCGGCUGCUGGUGGUCUUCAGGUCAGGAAAGGCAGGGGGAUAUCUGUACCGUCCAUCCUGUCCAUGCCCCUGGCCGUUCAGCUGCUGGACCUUGACUGCCAGUUCCAGCCUUGCCGUGAGGGCCUCUUGUUCUAGGCCAGCACCUCUUCUGAGGUGCCCACUGGGUGAGCAGCCCUUGGGGCCCCCCACCUGCCCCGGACCUGCACGCUGGCCGGAGUCCUUGGGGUGGAGACUCUGGGGUGGGUGGGGCUGAGGGCCUGCUGGGACACUGCUCUGGCUCCCCCUGCUCAGAGGAGACUCAUGUCCCGCACUCCACAGCUGGGCAGCGGGGCCUGCCAGUGGGGCGCUCAGAGGGGGUGAGACAUGGCCAGUACUCCAUGACAGCAGCUGGGGACGGCCAGCCUCUGGCACUGCUCCCAAAGCUGUUCCUGAGAGGUCAGACGGGGCCUGGGAACCAGACGAGGGAGGGACCGGAGAGGCCCUCGUCCCUGAAGGAGGGACGGAAAAUGGAGAGAUGGGGUCGGGUGGGCAGGGGCAGGAGGAAGGUGGUCCUGGUGAGACAGACGAGGAGGGCAAGGACAGAGCAGGCUGGCCCACGCGCUGAGUCGGAACCCUUGGGCUUGUCUUUGGGGGGCUGGAGGGGGCUCCUACUCUGCAGCCCAUGCAGCCCCGUGUGUGGCCCGAGAUCCAGGACUGGCCUCCCUUAGCGUGCUGUGGCCCAUGCAGUCCCUGGACCCCACUUGUCCAAGCUCUUCUGGGGACAUCACCUCACACACACAUGUGUGACCCACAUCAGGAUGGCUCAGGUGGCCUCGGCCCCUGCUCCUCACUCCACGCUGAGUCCCAGUCCCCUCAAAGCCUGGCCUCGGGGUCGGCCCUCUGGAAGGAGAGCCUGCCUCUGAGUGCUGGUCUGCUGUCUCCCACUGCUGUCUCCCCCUGUCUCCCACUGUCUCCCCCUGUCUCCCCCUGUCUCCCCCUGUCUCCCACUGUCUCCCACUGUCUCCCAGUGUCUCCCCCUGUCUCCCCCUGUCUCCCCCUGUCUCCCACUGCUGUCUCCCCCUGUCUCCCACUGUCUCCCCCUGUCUCCCACUGUCUCCCACUGUCUCCCAC
This 2009-nucleotide long non-coding RNA is filed under the name Marmota monax (woodchuck). Lineage: Eukaryota; Metazoa; Chordata; Mammalia; Rodentia; Sciuridae. The record is from RNAcentral.